GCCGUUUGGGACGUAGCCCAUGUUAGAUUCUGCCUCUAAUUCCCCUCACAGUUGGGGGGGAUUCUUCCAACCAGGUCAAGGUCCAAGAGAGAGAAAUUGGAUCAAUGACAUUACAAGUAAACCUACUACUGUUUAUUCAGUGGUGGAGCCAUGUACGUAGUUGAGGAUAGGAGCAUUCUAAUGCUAUGAAAUAACACACACACACACACACACAGUCAGACACAGACACAAUAAUAUUAUUUUGGGAGUAAGUGAAGUCAAUAUUGUUAAAGUUAUAACUGUAUGAACGUGCAUAUUUUCAAUUUAGACUACACUACAUGAUCAGAAGAAAAGGUUUUUAUGUUAAUUUUUGCAGCAGACACAGAGAUGUAGGCUAGUAGGGGCGAGGCUUGGUUUGGUUCCUGGCUGACAGGGAUUCAAACAACAGCUCUCUGAUUCCCCAUAGCGAUUAAUCCGAGCACUGCAGUUGUCAGUAGCUACAGUACGUUUUCCCGGGUCCAUGUUGAAGUUUGUUAACCCAGACUUUCUCGCAUACUCGCUUCGUCAGGUCAUUCCAGGGCACGCGUUGCAUCCGUUUGACCCCGCUCACAGGUAGAAGAAAACCGACUACACCCGCGCGAACUCAGUUAGAGAGGAAUGCACCAGUGGAGUGUUGGAAAAUAACAUUUCUGUUUGCCGACCUGCGUAUGAGGGCUCUGUCUGGUGGGGCUCGGCAGCUCCUCAACCCGGCCUGGAGACUCCUCGGCUCCCUCUCUCCCUACCUCCCUCUGGUAAGAAUGGCCUUUUGUUGCACAAUGCUCAGACAGCUAGCCAGCGUCCAACACCUCAAACACACAUACGCACAGCAUGCCAGGGUCUCCUCAGCUCUGCCAAUACAGAGAGGAAAGAGGAGACCACAGCAGUCAGCUUCACUUCAGCCCCUUUCCUCAGCCUCAGCUAAACAGCACACACACAUGGUCAGAAAUGGAAUUAAUGACUUAGCCCUUUUUAUGGAAGCAGUACAUUUGAUUCUAAGUUGUCUGAAGGUGAGCCAAUUAGUAGAGCUAACAGUGCGUCUGGCUUCAGACCAAGGUCUGUUCUUUUGCUGAAUGAACUCGGCAUGUUCAGGUGUAAACCAUGGGUUGGCUCUUUCAUUCUUCAUAGGAGCAUGUUUGUCAGAUACGUUGAUUAACAUACUAGAAAAAGGUUCAAGAGCAAGUUAGAAUGGUGAAGGUCAAGUGUUAUAAGUUUAUCUUAGUGAUAAGGUGUGGUUUAGUUUUUAGGCAACUGUGUUUCUGACAGACUAUAGGACAGUGAUCACUGAGGUCCAUAGCAAAUACACCACUAGUUGAGUAUUUAUGAGGGUUAUUUCUAAGUAUGAGAUUAAUCAGAGUUGAGAGUACAUUGAAACGAGUGGGCUCAGAAAUCACUUGGACUAAGCUCAGAUCAAUACAUGUGUUUGAUACCGUUCCAUUUAUUCCACUCCAGCCAUUACAAUGAGCCCGUCCUCCUAUAGCUCAUCCCACCAGCCUCCUCUGGUGUGUGUGCCUAAAUUAGUAUCUGGGCUAUGCUUUCUAAGAACCAUAUGGGGCCUGUUAAGGAAUGGGGAAACAUUACAGAACGAUAGAAAUGUCUGCAACAAACAUGAACGUAGAAUAGGUAACAGGUACCAUGCCAGCUCUAG
This is a long non-coding RNA of Oncorhynchus kisutch (coho salmon), 1663 nucleotides long. The record is from Ensembl. NCBI's taxonomy places the organism in Eukaryota, Metazoa, Chordata, Actinopteri, Salmoniformes, Salmonidae.